AACGCCGGACCUGGCAGACUCUCUGUGCCUCAAAAUGACCCAACAUUGGAGUCGGAUGGCCCCCAGAAGGAUGUUUCUACUUCCCACUAAUUUGAAAAAUCAGAGAUAUUGUCUUUCAGCUGGGGCCACAUAGCCAUCCUGAUCAACAGCCAUAUAUCUUAAAUUGGCAGGACCUCUGCAAAUCUCAUCCUCCAUGGGUGAAGCCGUUCCUUGUCCCUGUCCCCGCCACUACUGCUUCCCCCAUGAUUCUAUCUCUCAAACCCUCUGCUCCUCCUCCUCCACCCUCUGUUCUCCCUGAGUCUCAAGACUCUACUGGACUCUCCUCCCCCUUCUUAUCCCCUGCCCUCAUCCCCCAACCCCCAACAACCUCUAAGUGAUUCCGCUGCUGCUGACUCAGCCUCUCCGCCAUUGGAGGAAGCUAGGCCAGCCCAGCACCCUCUAGAUGACUACCCCGUGGCACACACAGCCCCUCCUUUCUGGAGGAAGCUGGCCCAGCUAAAAGAACUCAAAGAACUCCUUGGCGUUUUCACACCUGCCUACUUGGGAUGACUGCCAAUUAAUCCUAGGGACUCUCUUCAUGACAGAGGAACGAGACAGAAACCUCCUGGAAGCUAGAAAAAAAUAUCCUCGGACCAGAUGAGAGACCGACACAACUUCCCAACAUAAUCAAAGCCGGCUUCCCCUUCUUGAACUGACCCAACUGAGACCCCAACACCUUUGAAGGUAGGGAGCAUCUGUCCACUUAUUGCCAGGCCCUAAUAGUGGGUUUCCAAGCGGCCACUAGGCAACCAACCAAUUUGGCCAAGGUAAGAGAGAUUAUUCAAGGGCCUGAUGAAUAUCCCUCUAUGUUUCUAGAGAGAAUUAUGGAGGCAUAUAGGAGAUAUACUCCUUUUGAUCCUCAGGCAGAGGAUCAAAAGGCAUCUGUCAUGAUGGCCUUCAUUGGGCAAGCUGCCCUGGAUAUUAAAAGAAAGUUACAAUGCUUAGAUGGAUUACAAGAUAUGACUUUGAGAGAUUUAGUCAGAGAAGCUGAGAAAGUAUACUAUAAGAGAGAAACAGAGAGAAAGAUAGGGAGCAAAGGGGGAUGAGAUAUGCAAAAGACAGACUAAGGCAUUGACUAAGGUCCUGGUCACAACAAUAAAUAGGCCAUAAAUUAAGAAACAGGGAGAAAGGAAGGGAUACCUGAGGCCACCCCUGGCCUCAGAUCAAUGUGUCUACUGUAAAGAAAAAGGACAUUGGGCCAAAGAGUGCCCUAGAAAUAGACAGCGACGCCAGCCAGCCAUUCUGACUCUGGAGGAUGACUAAGAAAGUCGGGGCUCAGAUCCCCUCCCCGGGUUCAGGGUAACUUUUGAAGUGCAGGGGACCCCAAUAAACUUUGAAGUGGAUACAGGGACAAUAUACUCAGCCCUUAAGGCCCCAUUGGGCCCUCUAUCAAAUAAAAGGUCUCUAGUUCAAAGGGCUAACGGCAGUAAAUAUCAGACUUAGACAACUAAGAGGACCAUGGACAUGGGGAAAAGAAAAAUCCAUCACUCCUUCCUAGUAAUCCCAGAAUGCCUGGCCCCAUUGAUGGGAAGAGAUCUGCUCACCAAGCUCUGGGCCAAAACAUCUUUUAACCCUGAAGGCCCCAAAAUGAAACUUCUAAAUCCUUCAAUAAAAACUCCUAUAGUCAUGGCUUUAAAUAUGUCAGUAGAAGAUGAACAGCAACUCUUCACACCCCCCAAGACUGAUCAAACAGGCAAGCUACCCCAGAAAUGAAUUACAGAUUACCCAGAUGCCUGGGCAAAAACUGCUAGGUUAUGCCUAGCAGUGAAACCAUCUCCAAUAACAGUGGAGUUAAAAACUUCAGCCUCCCCAAUCAAUGUCAAACAAUAUCCUCUGAGCAAAAAAGCUAAAGAUGGGAUAAGGCCCCAUAUUCAGAAAUAUCUGGCCUUAGAGGUCCUAAGGCCCUGUUAAUUGGCCUGGAAGAAUCCCGUGCUAACAGUAAAAAAUGCCAGGAACCGGGGACAAUCACCCCAUUACAGACCUAAGAGAGAUCAACAACAGAGUGCAGGACAUUCACCCCACGGUACCUAAUCGAUACAAUCUGCUUAUCACUCUGAACCCUGAGCAGAAAUGGUAUACUGUUCUGGACUUAAAAGAUGCUUUCUUUUGCUUGCCUCUGCAUAAAGAUAGUCAGUUACUGUUUGCUUGUGAGUGGGUAGACCCAGAAACCGGAACGUCUAGUCAACUAACUUGGACUAGACUCCCACAGGGGUUCAAAAACUCCCCCACUCUCUUUGAUGAAGCCCUCCACAGAGAUCUCAACAAUUUCAGAACUACACACCCCAAAGUCACCCAGCUUCAAUACGUGGAUGACCUGCUACUGGCAGCCAACACCAAGGAAAACUGUGAGUCUGAUACCCAAGCACUAUUAUAUGAGCUUGCUCAACUCAGGUAUAUAGCUUCUGCCAAAAAGGCCCAAAUUUGCCAGAAAGAAGUAAUCUUCCUGGGCUAUUCCCUUAGGGGCGGUAAAUGAUGGCUCACUGAGCCCAGAAAACAAACGGUUGUGCAGGUACCACCCCCAUCUAACAGCAGACAACACAGAGUGUUUCUUGGGACUGCUGGGUUUUGCAGGUUAUGGAUUCCUGUGUCUGCAUUCUUAACUUCUCCUUUAUACCCGCUGUUAAAGGGAGAUGCCCAAUUCCAAUGGACCCCUGAGAACCAGCAAGCUUUUGAUAACAUGUAAAGACACUGAUACUGAACUCCUCAACUUCACUGAACCAAGCCUGCAAUUUCAGAAAGCCCUACACUACAUUAAAAAUGUACAUCAAUUCACUCAUCUUGGUUCAAAGAAACUGCAGGCAUUCCUGAAGGAUCAAGAACAGAGUUUUUGACUAACCGACUCAAAGCAAAAGGAAAUAUCUGAAUGGGUAACAAAAGCCUGUCGGGUCUGUCAAUAGGUUAAUUCUUACCCUUCCAAUCUUCCUGCAGGAAAGCACCUACGAGGAACCAGACCAGGACAAUUCUGGGAAGUGGACUUUACUGAAUUUAAGCCAGCAAGGUAUGGACUAUUUCCUAGUCUUUGUAGAUGCAUUUUCAUGAUGGAUUGAAGCCUUCCCCAGAAAAAAAGGCCCAAAUGCUGUUAAAGAAGAUCCUGAAAGAUAUUUUUCCAAGAUACGGCCUGCCUAAGGUAAUAGGGUCUGAUAAUGGACCGGCGUUCAUGGCCCAGGUAAGUCAGGGGUUAGCCAGGACCCUGGGGAUUAAUUGGAAGUUACAUUGUGCUUAAAGACCCCAGAGCUCAGGACAGGUAAAAAAAACUAAAAGGAACCAUUAAAGAGACCUUAACAAAAUUAAGCUUAGAGAGCGGCAUAAAAGAUUGGACUAUGCUCCUGCCUUAUGCACUGUUUCAUGCAAGAAAUACUCCCUCUGUUUCUUUGUGUAACCUCACCCCCUAUGAAAUUCUCUAUGGGGCCCCUCCUCCAGUAAGGGACCUAACCCCAACUGUAAGACCUAACGAUCCCUUCCAAACCCCCUUGCUUGACAGACUUAAAGCUCUUGAAAGAACUCAGUGAUACCUGUGGAAACAGCUGGCCACUGCCUACCAACCUGGUGAAGAGGGGACUCAACAUCGAUAUCAAGUAAGAGACUUCAUCUACAUAAGAUGACAUCAGGUGUCGUUCCUGGAACCCCGCUGGACAGGACCAUACCAGGUGCUACUUAUGACACCUACAGUGGUAAAGGUAGACGGAAUCACUUCCUGGAUCCUAAUUCUCAUCUCAACCUGCGCCCUAUCCAGACUCUGGCUGGAAACCUGAAAAGACUGGUAACCCUUUCAAAUUGCAUAUUCACCAUGUGGAUAAGGCUAUAGACUCUCCCCUUGGCCACCAGUAGUCCUAACCCUCAUCAGCCCAUUCAGCAGCGAUGGCUGAUCACAAAUCCUACUAGACAAGAAGUAUCAUAUAUCUUGCAUACAGCCCCCUUAGGGACCUGGUGGCCAUCUCUCCACCCAGACAUUUGUCAGCUGGCAAUAGGUCUUUCCUAUUGGGAUAUCCCUGAUGAAGAGGAUCCCAAUAAAAUUCCAUUAAAUCCCUUCCAUACCAUAGAUAAUGGAAACAAACAUUAUGGAUGUAGGGACAUGCGAGCCAGAUGCAGGUUGGCUAGCCUAGAUUACUAUGUUUGCCCGGCGGACUAUCAAAGCCACAAAGAGCCACGGCUAUGUGGGGGAAAAGAAGACUUCUUCUGUAAAUAAUGGGGAUGUGAGCACACAGGGGCUGCCUGGUGAAACCCAAACUCCUCAUCAAAUUCAGUACACAGCAUUGGCCAUAUUACCAAUUAGA
RNAcentral lists this long non-coding RNA (4313 nucleotides) under Marmota monax (woodchuck). Lineage: Eukaryota; Metazoa; Chordata; Mammalia; Rodentia; Sciuridae. The record is from RNAcentral.